Molecule: ribosomal RNA, 497 nt
Filed under: uncultured bacterium
Lineage: Bacteria
Description: partial 16S ribosomal RNA
Rfam family: Bacterial small subunit ribosomal RNA
Source: RNAcentral
GAGGAAAGCUGGUGGCGUGCCUAAUACAUGCAAGUCGAGCGAACAGACGAGGAGCUUGCUCCUCUGACGUUAGCGGCGGACGGGUGAGUAACACGUGGAUAACCUACCUAUAAGACUGGGAUAACUUCGGGAAACCGGAGCUAAUACCGGAUAAUAUAUUGAACCGCAUGGUUCAAUAGUGAAAGACGGUUUUGCUGUCACUUAUAGAUGGAUCCGCGCCGCAUUAGCUAGUUGGUAAGGUAACGGCUUACCAAGGCAACGAUGCGUAGCCGACCUGAGAGGGUGAUCGGCCACACUGGAACUGAGACACGGUCCAGACUCCUACGGGAGGCAGCAGUAGGGAAUCUUCCGCAAUGGGCGAAAGCUUGACGGAGCAACGCCGCGUGAGUGAUGAAGGUCUUCGGAUCGUAAAACUCUGUUAUUAGGGAAGAACAAAUGUGUAAGUAACUAUGCACGUCUUGACGGUACCUAAUCAGAAAGCCACGGCUAACUACGUG